AUGGGAGACACAGCAGAGAAUAAGGGCAUGGAAGAGAGUCUCUUUAUCAAAGAGAUAUACGAGGAAAGAGAUAGCGAUUCUUCAGCUACUCUAACAUGGCAAUUGUUCUGUCAAGAAGUGAAAAAAAUGGGUUUCAUAGCAGGACCCAUGGUCGCUGUGGUUCUCUCUCAGUACCUCUUGCAAGUUAUUUCCAUGACUAUGGUUGGUCACCUUGGUGAACUUGCUCUCUCUAGCACCGCCAUA
Molecule: unclassified non-coding RNA, 243 nt
Filed under: Hevea brasiliensis (rubber tree)
Lineage: Eukaryota; Viridiplantae; Streptophyta; Magnoliopsida; Malpighiales; Euphorbiaceae
Source: RNAcentral